UAAUAUUUGCAGAAACGGCAGAAUAUUAAGCAAAAUGCCUUGAGAUAUUUAGUUGCAGCCCUUUGCAUUCUGAGUUCAAUAACAAAACAAUGGCUCAGUGAUGUGUAUAAGGUACGAUUCAAUUAACAGCAUCCUAUCGCAAAAUUUAGUGUUGUUUCAGUGCGUUAAUAUAUUUAUCAAUUUCAUUAUUAGAUUACGAAUGUAUAAAAUAUGUAUGUAUAAUAUAUUUAUAAAUAUAUGAAAGGAAAUGGUAAGCGUUGAUGUGAGAGAAAAACGGUAAGCGUUCAUGUGAGAGAAAAAGCGAAUGAGCGAAAUAGUAAGAGAAAAGAAAGGAAAGAAAGAAAGAAAACGAGCAAAAAUUGAGAAAGAAAGAAAGAGAUUAAAAAAAAGAGAGAGAUGGGAAGCAAAUGUGAAUAAAAGAAGAGAUUGGGAGAAAUGAUAGAGAGGAAGGGGAAGGUAAAAGGAAAGAGCGUCUAGGAUAUCGGAAACCAUCAAAGGCCGUGAUAACAACAAAAGCGACGACACUGUCCUUUGUCUUGGCUAACUCUUGAUCCUACCCGAUGUCUUAGUUAUAUGCGUGUUAAUGGCAAAAACCAAGAGAAUGGAGGUAGGAGAAGGAGAUGAAAGGCGGGUACAGUUUGGAGAACUGCUACUUAGGUGGACGUAAACAACCCAAAACCAUUUGUCAAGCGAUGGUGGUUUGUUCACGAGGGUACGUCAGUGUCGUACUCAUUCUCACAUACUCCCGUACUGAAGUGAAUUCUACCUUUGAUGCAUUCAACAAUAUUGAUAAAUGCUUUGAUUCACUAUUAAACACCUCGAUGAAGCAGAGACUCUUCUACUAGUUGAUGUUAUAUUCAACAUUUCGGAAAAAGGUGAAACCACCACACGAUUCUUAUAUACAAAAACGGCCUGCGGAGACAUGUUCGUGUACUUUAUAUCAGCUCCCCACCACUAUACCAAGCACAACAACAUACAAAAUGAACUUGCUCGCAUUCGUAACAGAUGUGACAAAGCGACCGACCGACCGACACAUUUACGCUGUGCAUUUCCAAAAAAGUUUCAAACUAAAUGGAUACCCCACAUCUUCCACCCAUCCCCAACAAGGUCAACGACGUAAAACAGAACAACAGCCACUAGAAUGCCAACUUCCUGACUGGAGCUACCACAGCUCAGUGGGACAAAUACCACCGCCAUUCGAAAAGCUAUUCGUAGUGAGAUUAAGAAUUCUGACCUAAAUAGGUAAUUAGUAAAUUUACAGCCAAAACUAUCAUUAGAUUUUCUUUAUUUUGACUUCCUCUUUUGUACACACGAAAACAGAUGUCUUAUUCCGAAUGUGCCAUUACUGUGUAAAAUACGUUGGACUCUAAAACACAAGCGUAUUACAAAAUAAGUUAUUUUUACGAAGUUUCUCAAAUGCAAGUCUAGCCGUAAAUAAUAGAUUGUAAAACAUCGGGUAAAAUCCCAUCAGACAAAAAAAAGAUAAAAAGUAGAAAGAAUUAUAUAUCAAGCAAUUUGCAAAAGAUGUUCAAGUAGACGCAACAAAAUUUAUCGCCAUCAGAAGCAGACCAGAAAAGAGCAUAUGUGUCAAUCUCAGAGUACUGUGAGACGACUAGUUAGAGGAAAAUCGGGGUGAAAAUAUAAUUUUCUAUACUGUCGACCAUUUUAGUAUGUAGUAUUCAUGACAUGAUUUUGCACAUCUGGAAAUAUAUGAAACCUCGAUAGUCUUUGCAUUGAAACAAGAGAUGACAGUGCUAUAAAAUUAUUUGGCAAAUUCUUCGGUCGAUCAUCGUAUUUUUUAUUCGUGUCAACCACUGGAAUCAACCCACGUGUCUGCUGCAGAUCAGACAACUGUGAUACCACUACACCAAAAAAAAAAAAGCUUUGGUAAGCUAGAUUUGCAUUUCAGCAACAUCGUUUAAAGACUUUUUAAAUUUGUUAAGCUUUGAACAUACGGUUCAAAUAGACUAAUGUAUUUGAAAAGUUGUGUCCUUGGGCAAAAUAUUUUAUUUCACGUUGCUCCAGUCCACUCAGCUGGCAAAAAUGAGUAGUACCUGUAUUUCAAAGAGCCGGCCUUGUCACACUCUGUGUCACGCUGAAUCUUCCUGAGAACUACAUUAGGGGUACACGUGUCUGUGGAUUGCACAGUCACUUGCACGUUAAUUUCAAGAGCAAGCUGUUCCGUUGAUCGUAUCAGCUGGGACCCUCGUCGUCGUAACCGACGGAGUGCUCCACACGAUAUACACUUCCAGAACGAGCUGUCAAGAACAUAAAAAACUUUUUUAAUACUUUAUAACGUAUAAAAUUCAGGAAGAAUGUUACCACUAAGGAAUUUCACAUAUUCGUGCAGGUUUAUUUCAUGGCAGCAAUGUAAAAUAGGGACAACAAGGUUACACUAAUACCCACGAAGGACUAUAGUCGUACUUUGCAUAGAAAUAAAGGAAAUGCUAAACCAACAGCACAUGUACGUCAAUAUCUUCAAAUAUACACUGGAGGAUAUGAACAACUCUUCGAAUCGUAAAAUCGUCUUCUAAACAGUCGGAUGUCUGGGUGCAGAACAUGAAGGAUGAUACAGUACUUUGUCAAUGAUAAGGUGUCCGGUCAAUUCGUCGACGGCCAUUAGUCGUCGUUUAGUUUGUCCCCAGUCAAUUCGUCGUUAGUCGAUUCGUCCCCAGGUCAAUUCGUUGUCAGUCUUUGUCGAGAUCAUAGAUAAAAUGGAAGAACGAAUAUCUGAAAUAAAAAAACGUUUAUUCUAAGGUU
Molecule: long non-coding RNA, 2760 nt
Organism: Octopus bimaculoides (California two-spot octopus)
Lineage: Eukaryota; Metazoa; Mollusca; Cephalopoda; Octopoda; Octopodidae
Source: RefSeq, a predicted model, not a curated record